GGGCCCAUAGCUCAAUGGUAGAGCAGGACACUCAUAAUGUCUUGGUUCGGGGUUCGAAUCCCUGUGGGCCCA
RNAcentral lists this transfer RNA (72 nucleotides) under Candidatus Omnitrophota bacterium. RNAcentral describes it as "tRNA-Ile". It matches the Rfam family "tRNA". Rfam says of the family: Transfer RNA (tRNA) molecules are approximately 80 nucleotides in length. Their secondary structure includes four short double-helical elements and three loops (D, anti-codon, and T loops). Lineage: Bacteria; Pseudomonadati; Candidatus Omnitrophota. The record is from RNAcentral.